GCCGAGAACAUCACGUUCACGCUGAAUCCCACCAUCAUGGCCAGCGGCUGUCGAGUGUCUGGCCAGUCCAUUUCUCUGAGCUUCACCAGCCUUCUUGAUGAUGGACUCAACUAUUGUAACCUCUACAAUCUGCUCUCAUCAAGCGGCCUCACGUCAUCUCCAGGCUUCAUAGAAAUGACAAAUGAGUGGGCCUGCCUCGGGUAUGGACUCGCCACCUGCAAAG
Molecule: long non-coding RNA, 223 nt
Organism: Poeciliopsis prolifica (blackstripe livebearer)
Lineage: Eukaryota; Metazoa; Chordata; Actinopteri; Cyprinodontiformes; Poeciliidae
Exons: 3
Source: RefSeq, a predicted model, not a curated record